This is a non-coding RNA of Meleagris gallopavo (turkey), 2772 nucleotides long. NCBI's taxonomy places the organism in Eukaryota, Metazoa, Chordata, Aves, Galliformes, Phasianidae. The record is from RefSeq and is a predicted model, not a curated record.
CCUUUCAUUCUGUAUUUUUGUGCCUUUUCUAUUUUCUGCAGGCCUGUGGGCCCAGCUGGGCACCGUUGGCAGCUGAACUCGUAGAUUUGCUUAAAACCAAACCCUGCACCAAAAUCAAGCUUCGAACCCAAACCCUGAGAUCUGCACACCUGGGAUUCACUCCAGCACCGUCCCAUGGGAGAAGCAGCUCCUGCACCCAGCACCAGGGCUCAGGCACAGCCCUGCACCAGUUUAUUUCCUUGCUGGGGGUGGCGGGAGCUCCAGCACCCAGCCAGCACACUUCUAACCAGGUGAAAUCCUUCCCUUGGAGAAAGUGGGAGGCAUUUCCACACGUCAGGAGCCCCAGCGAAACAGUGAACUGAAUGGAUUCUCAGAACAAAAAGGAAUCCUUCUGAGUGACGCUGUGGCACUUGGGGACGUGGUCAGGGUGCACGGCUGGGGAUGGGCUGCUGCUUCGUGACUCCGUGAUGACAAAACCCAGCUGAAGUCACACAGCCGACCCCAGGCACAUCCCUGAGCUCUGCCCUCUCAACAGCACUGCUGCUCGGCGCUGAGUGCUGCCCUGCUUCCGAGCAGCCCGAGCCGGAACGGAGACAUUUUUCCUCUUUAAGAACCAAGGCAUAAAAUAAAUACAACCCACCGUCCUCUGCUUUUUCACCCAUUAAGUGCUGCCCUCCUUCACAGGGCCGUAUGAAGCAGCCCUGGGCCGGGUGGAGCGCUGAUGCUCCUCAUUCCUCGCCCCGCUGUCCUCGUGCCUCACUGCUCGCCAUAAAUCACCCGCAGCGCAGGAAAGUGGGGGUUAACAAGGCAUGACUCUGCCCUCCAUCUCCCUGUCCCAGGGCCCAGGAAGUGAGGGAUGGCUGCGAUUUGGCUGCAGAAGGAAGAAAAGGGGGAAAAAAAGGGAUGUGGGCAGCUGGGAGGUCGUGGGAUCUCAAAGUGGGGCUGCUGCAUCUCAGUGCAAGCAGCGGGGAGGGCUGAGGGAUGUGGCCAUGGAUGGGUACCCGGGCAGGAGGCUGAGCCACGGCAGGGCAGUUAUGGCAGGAAAUGGGGCAUGGUCUUCUUUUCAGUCACUUAGAAAAGCCCUCCUGGCCUGAUACACAAAUCUUGUUCUUCUUUUUCAAGCCGCCUAUAGACACAGAGAUCAGAUAUAUGUUCCUACUGCUUUUAUUAUCAAACGAGCCAGAAUUAGUUCAGAUUUUACUUGGAAUUCAAAGAAGAAAAUGUUUCCUUCCCGACAAUUUUAUAUAUUUAUCCCUUUGGCUAAAGCCUUUGAUUCUGAAAAGUGCAAUUAGCAGUGGCGGCUGUGCAGUUUGACUUCUAACCAGAGAAACUCCCCGUGCAAAUGAAAAGCAGAGCUGCAAUGAAACGCAACGUUUCCUUUUGCUGUCUGUAAUUUAUUCCGACCGGCCGACACCUGAGCCAGCAUGCAGGCAACACGCUCAGGAGAAUAUCACAGUAAUGGUGUCCUUGUCAUCGCAGCCCUCCGAGCACCAACAGAAAGCAAGAGCAAGUAGUGCAUAGUGGGGACUCCUACAAUUGCAGCCCUGUUUAAGGAGAGGCUUCUUGCACCCCAGAGCUGCGGGUGGGCAGGCUGCUACCUGCUCUGUGUUGCUCCAUUUACCCGAGUCCCCAUCCUGCCCGCUGCUGGAGUGAAUGCAUGGAGAGGGGAGCGUGCGUGCACUGGGGAAGCGAUGGGAAAGGUCAGCCAGCAUGAUUGAACGCUCCCUCCUGGCCUUACCUCCAGGAAUUUAUUGAACAACUUCAGAGCCUGCAGCUGUGGUGGGAUCUCCCUGCAGGCAGUGUCCUCAGGUUGUUCUCUGUCAGCGCUGUCAGCUUUAUUUGCAAUCUCUACAAAUAGGCUGGGGCCGCAUCGCAGCCCCUCGUGGCGCUCAGUGAGCGCCGACCCCUCACACCUGAGCUGGGGCAACGUGUGCAGCGCUCCUCCCACCGAGCUCCCCGUGCUGUCAGCAGCCCCCAGCAGCAGAUGUGGGCGGUGACCCAGCACGGCUGGAGGGGGAAACGUGCACCAACCUGCCGUCGGCGCCCGCUGUGCCCGCAGCCCAUCCUUGCCCACCUCCCCUCCGCCGCUAACCCAACUCCGACGUUCGCCAGGCGCUGCGCACCCAUAGGCACGUACACAUGUGCACGCGUGCUCUCACACAUGCACACACUUGAGCACAUGCACAGCUCCAGGUGCUGCUGCGUCCUACUGCUCCUCCAGCCCUGCAGCCUGCAGGCAAAGCUGUGCUCCCAGGGGCUGCCUGAGCACGGAACCCGGAUCCUGCUGCAUGAAUGGAACAGCGUAACAGCAGCACGAGGAGGAGACAGAGAUAAAAGGAAGGUGGCAAGGAAGGAAACCUGUUGUUCCUUAAUUGCACAGGAGGAGGUGGGGGAAGGCAGCUGACACUGCCUGCAGUGCGGUGCACUGAUGCUGGGACUGAUCUCUGCCUCCCUCUGCUCCAGCAGUGUCUGGGAGCUGUGCCUGGUUGGCUUCCAGGCAGUGUCCUUUGGCAGGGGGAAGGAGCAGAAAAAUCAAAAUCAGAGCCCUGCAUGCAUGCGUGGUGCUCCCUUGUGCAUGUUGGAGAAAAGGCCUGUAGGCAGAGAAGUCCCUUUAAAAGCUGUGUAUCCCUUUAGGCUGAUAAAAGAGCUAAGGUUGGGUCUGCUGCUUGGGCUGUCGCCAGGCUGAGAAACAGAAAACAGACAAACAUUUUGGGUCGAGUUCACAUCAACACCCAUCCUCAGCCUUGUCAUUCCUACUCAGUAAAUACGCAG